GACAGAGGGUGCAAACGUUGUUCGGAAUUACUGGGCGUAAAGCGUGUGUAGGCGGCCAUAUAAGUCGGAUGUGAAAGCCCUGGGCUCAACCCAGGAAGUGCACUCGAUACUGUAUGGCUCGAGUACUGGAGAGGUUGGUGGAAUUCUCGGUGUAGAGGUGAAAUUCGUAGAUAUCGAGAGGAACACCGGUGGCGAAGGCGGCCAACUGGACAGAUACUGACGCUGAGACACGAAAGCGUGGGGAGCAAAC
This 250-nucleotide ribosomal RNA is filed under the name uncultured bacterium. RNAcentral describes it as "partial 16S ribosomal RNA". It matches the Rfam family "Bacterial small subunit ribosomal RNA", at positions 524 to 773 of the family's 1533-position model. The record is from RNAcentral.